RNAcentral lists this ribosomal RNA (479 nucleotides) under uncultured bacterium. Its description in RNAcentral is "partial 16S ribosomal RNA". It matches the Rfam family "Bacterial small subunit ribosomal RNA", at positions 28 to 507 of the family's 1533-position model. The record is from RNAcentral.
GAUGAACGCUAGCGGGAGGCCUAACACAUGCGAGCCGAGCGGUAUUUGUUCUUCGGUCCAGAGAGAGCGGCGCACGGGUGCGGAACACGGGUGCAACCUGCCUUUAUCUGGGGGAUAGCCUUUCGAAAGGAAGAUUAAUACCCCAUAAUAUAAUGAGUGGCAUCCUUUGAUAUUGAAAACUCCGGUGGAUAGAGAUGGGCACGCGCAAGAUUAGAUAGUUGGUGAGGUAACGGCUCACCAAGUCAAUGAUCUUUAGGGGGCCUGAGAGGGUGAUCCCCCACACUGGUACUGGGCCCCGGACCAGACUCCUACGGGCGGCAGCAGUGAGGAAUAUUGGACAAUGGGUUAGCGCCUGAUCCAGCCAGCCCGCGUGAAGGACGACGGCCCUAUGGGUUGUAAACUUCUUUUGUAUAGGGAUAACCCUACUCUCGUGAGAGUAGCUGAAGGUACUAUAAGAAUAAGCACCGGCUAACUCCGUG